GUUGAGUGUGGUAAUAACUGCAUCUCCGCAGCCUGUUGCAGCAUCCUGGAAUGGGNNNNNNNNNNACACUAAAUGAGUUUGUAGGAUUUUAGGGUCUCUCUCUACUACCAGCCUGGAGCCAGGAAAUUACUUAUGAGUUUUGAUUCUGAGUCCUUCUUGUCCCUGCGUUCCACAGGCUGAGUACCUGCUGCUAAAACACCCGUCAGCAAGCAGGCUACCACAGAUCAGUGGACCAACUUUUAUUAUCGUAGAGACUGGCACAAGCUUCUAGUGCAAACAAUCACAUUGUCACUGUGAAAUGCAUCAUUUGUCAUUAAGGAGCAUUGGUAAUGUAAUUGUUAGGGAGCUACCUUUAAAAAAAAAAAAGCAAACCAGGUGGAAGUGAAUUACUUAAAACCAGAACACCUGCUCAUGACUUAAGUCUUAAUUGUGAUCAAUUGUUUCCACCUGUAGGUGUUGAUGGCUUCACUCAGAAACUUUUUUUUUCCCCCCACUCUGUCUGCUCUUCACAGAGGAAGUUUAAUCAUUUUUCUGGAUUUCCUUUUGCCUUCUCUUUGUAAAAAAUGCCUUGUGCUCUUCGGUGGUUCCAAGAAACUUCUUCAAAGGUGAGUGGCGUCUGAGGAAGUUGGUGUUGGUGGUGGAGGAGCUGGUUCCAGGGCGCGUCGUACCCUGCGGCUGGAGGAGAGGAUGUGUUGGGCAAGCAUGAAGCUUCAGGAGAAAAGCUUUGGCGUCUUUGACAGAAAACCCACAGGACUCCAGAGCCUGGCAUAUGACAGAACGCCUCCAGCGGCUUCGCGCAUUUGCAUUCACGGCGAUACAAAAACUGUUUCAGAUGGAGUUUGGGCAGAGACAGAGAGGGCAAGCACUCCCGUUCCUGACCCUGCGUGA
RNAcentral lists this long non-coding RNA (888 nucleotides) under Anas zonorhyncha (Eastern spot-billed duck). RNAcentral's name for it is "lncRNA (ENSAZOG00000009434.1)". The record is from RNAcentral. Lineage: Eukaryota; Metazoa; Chordata; Aves; Anseriformes; Anatidae.